CUUGCAGGGCUGCCAGAAGACCUGCUGUUUUUCUUUGACCACUUCGGAAAAGUCGGUGGGGUUGUCGACGUGGAGCAGAGCCUCCUCCUCUACUGCUACCACCAGCACACGACCACACACUCUGUCUUGGAGGCCACCAUCUGGCCUUGCUGCUCCCACUUUCUCGUCCUCACGCACUGGGUGAUCUUCACCAUCGGGAACUGGGGGCAAGCAGGGGUGCAGGCUGGAUUGCAGCGUAAGGUUGGUCUGUUUUGUGACAUUGAUGAGAACAAGCUCACGGGCCUCUACUGCUAGGGGAAUCUCAGGAAAAGCCCAGGGUUCCAAUCUACCCACUGCCCUUCAUCAUCUGUGUGAAGCUGGGCUUCACAUAUGCAGGGGGCCAGAAGGUCGACCAGAAGGGUGAGUUUGAGGAUAACCCGAGGCCUCCUGAACCUGCAGGAGGACUGGGACUUCCUUCCCUUC
RNAcentral lists this long non-coding RNA (462 nucleotides) under Homo sapiens (human). RNAcentral describes it as "non-protein coding PLS3-AS1:10". The record is from RNAcentral. Lineage: Eukaryota; Metazoa; Chordata; Mammalia; Primates; Hominidae.